Molecule: ribosomal RNA, 497 nt
Filed under: uncultured bacterium
Lineage: Bacteria
Description: partial 16S ribosomal RNA
Rfam family: Bacterial small subunit ribosomal RNA
Source: RNAcentral
GAUGAACGCUGGCGGCGUGCCUAAUACAUGCAAGUCGAGCGAACAGACGAGGAGCUUGCUCCUCUGACGUUAGCGGCGGACGGGUGAGUAACACGUGGAUAACCUACCUAUAAGACUGGGAUAACUUCGGGAAACCGGAGCUAAUACCGGAUAAUAUAUUGAACCGCAUGGUUCAAUAGUGAAAGACGGUUUUGCUGUCACUUAUAGAUGGAUCCGCGCCGCAUUAGCUAGUUGGUAAGGUAACGGCUUACCAAGGCAACGAUGCGUAGCCGACCUGAGAGGGGGAUCGGCCACACGAGAAGUGAGACACGGUCCAGACUCCUACGGGAGGCAGCAGUAGGGAAUCUUGCGCAAUGGGAGAAAGCCUGACGGAGCAACGCCGAGUGAGUGAUGAAGGUCUUCGGAUCGUAAAACCCUGUUAUUAGGGAAGAACAAAAGUGUAAGUAACUAUGCACGUCUUGACGGUACCUAAUCAGAAAGCCACGGCUAACUACGUG